RNAcentral lists this long non-coding RNA (233 nucleotides) under Capsicum annuum. RNAcentral's name for it is "long non-coding RNA (CANN_LNC004568)". The record is from RNAcentral. Lineage: Eukaryota; Viridiplantae; Streptophyta; Magnoliopsida; Solanales; Solanaceae.
UCGAAACUCCUUUUAAGGCCUUGAAGCCUUAUGGACUUUUUGCCAUAAAGAAUAAUACGUAGAUCUUCAUUUAAGAAAUGUAGGGAGAGGUAGUCCCUAUAAUUUUUAAUUUCCAUGCCCUUUGCAAGUUGCAAAACUUUUUCAAGUUGUGCGACCUUGAAGUCCAACAAAGCCGGCCUCUCUCCUGUUAUUCUGACAUUUCUUGCCAUUUCACUUGUUUGUUCAACUUCAUC